UCCAUUUAGUAGGCAUUUUAUGCAUAAAAAAAACAAAUGAAAAACGCCGGUUGUUGAAAAGGAAUCUAAUUUCAAUUCGAGACAUUCCACGAAACGUUGUUUUUUUUUCACUUCAUAUAAAAACAAAAAAAAAGUGAAAUUAUUUUUAUGCGGUAACGGGAGAGUCACGAUAGCCUUCUCCCCAGUAAAAAAAACAAAACAGGAUGACUCAUUGCGGUUUCUUGUUCAUCGGCGGUUCGUUCCAGCAUCACCAGAUUUGCAAUGAAUCACUUGGAGGAAGUAAGAAAAAAGGCAGUUUGAACACCAAACGGAAAUGACUGUUUGCUUUAGAAAAUGGCCGCCAGUCAUUCGAGCAGUGACGUUCUGCUUCGAGUAACCGUACCAACUCUGUUGUGCAGUUCACAUUGAAAAACGAUAUGACGAAUGUGAGACGAACAUUUUUCUUAAUGUUGUGUGUGUGUGCAAGACAUUCUAAUGGAUAAAAAAAAAUUCCAAGAACUGAAGAGUGUCGGAUAAGAAAAAUGUAGAACGUGUCUUAACCGCGCUGUUUGAGCCUUAGCAAAAUAACUAUGCCCACGUCUAAUGUAUCCGAAACUGACCCUAAAAAAAAGAUGGGAUGUUUGUCAACCUAAGACCUCAGUAAAUGUAUCUCUCUUUUUUCCUUUGCAAAAGCUUUUUUUUAUCGCCAUUUUCUGUAUCAAGUUCUGGGUAACAUUCCAGAGGAGGAUUUUGAAAGUGGACUUUUAAGAAAAUGGACAAAGUCCCUAUAAAUUCUUGCUCUUAUGAUCCAAUAGACUGAACUUUAUGAAAAUUCUUUGUCUUUUCUGCAAUUCUGCAAUGUAACUUGAUUUUUUUUUUCAUGCACGUUAUGCAAAAUGUUUUCCAUUUGAUUAAAAUCAUCAGUUCUUUUUAGACUAACUUUUGGCUUUGAUUCCCACCCAAAAAAAAAAGAGGGGGUUCACACUUCCGUUUGGUUUUGCAUCUGUGGCCGGAUGUUGGACCGUGUCACAUUCAGGAAACGGAGACCAGCCGAUUCUGCUGGUGUCGACGGGUUGACUUCGCACCACCACCAACAACGAAAAAUGUCGACUCUCAAUAAAUCACAGCCGCUGAUUCGAUGAAAGAAUUUUGGGAAUUGGGAAAAAGGGAGGACAGUAAAAAAAAAAAGAUGAAAAGGCACGUACAUCGAUCAGGAUAUCUGUCUUGUUCCGGGGCGGAAGUUAUUUCAAAACGACCUAAUAAAAACGUUACGAACAUAGGAAAACUAAAAAUAGUCAUAAAUAAAUAACGCACUGAAAUCGAACCCAUCGAAUAAGGAAUGAAAAAAAUCGACAUAAAUUUGACAGCAAAAAUGAUAACAGUAAUAGCUAAACAACAAGAAACUCAAUAAAAUACUAUGAAAUAAAAUAGGGAAAAAAAAAAAAUCUAUAACCAGAUCGAUUUCCUUCGUCAUUACGCACAGGCCAUACAUCCGUUUCCGGAGAGACAGAGAUCAGCCAGAGGUCAAUCGUCCCUCUAUAAAUUGCUCUUAUAAAUGUUCAUAUUUUUUUCUCCGCGUUGAAUUUUCAGUGUUGGUUGGCAACUCCCCACAAUUCCCGGAAGUAGAUACGUACGUCGAUGUCGUCAUUUAAUGCCACCCCCUCCCCCCUCGCAGAUCCUUCAUAAAUUUCAUCACUUUCUCAUGGCGUUGUUAAAUCUUGAAACUCAUUUCUUUCAUUCCCAAAACACUCCAAGAUUUUAAAAAACGGAAUUUGUUGGCCACCUACUGGCAUAUUCAGAUAUCAAAUCAAUAAAAUUCACAAGAAGUUUGUUCUUUUUUUAAAA
Daphnia magna is the source of this 1824-nucleotide long non-coding RNA. RefSeq lists it as uncharacterized. The transcript has 2 exons. The record is from RefSeq and is a predicted model, not a curated record. Lineage: Eukaryota; Metazoa; Arthropoda; Branchiopoda; Diplostraca; Daphniidae.